GCAGGAUAACUGCAAACCCAGAUGCAGAGACAAAACGUGUUCGGAGAGUGACACCUAGCAGAGCUCUCUGUGUGCUUUAAUGAGAUGUCACCCUUGCAGAGCAAGAUAUUGCCUGAUGUACUCCAGGAUGGGUUCAGUGAUACCAAACUUGUUUUACAUCACGGGACCUGGUUCAGCUUCUCCCAGAUGAAAAUCAUUCAACAACCCAUUAUUAAAGGACUGUGCAAUGGGAAUGUGCUGAGCAGCGUGGAUCUAGCUGGGAAAGUCAUCUGAGCAGAGGAUGCUGCUUGCAGGCCCCAGGAAAGGCUGCAGGUUUGCAACCCCCCCACUGGUUUGCAGUCAUCUUGGAUUCUGUUUAUUGUGAAGGCUCAGCCACAUCCUCCCUAUCCCGAAGUCCUGAACAUCUGCCUUAAUUUGUCUGGCCUUGUAGCCUUUGAGGAUUCACUGCUUGGUUUUGCAAUGAGUCUCUCACUGAGGACAGGGAAGGGAAUUUGAUGGCGUCAGAAAAUACGACUCUCCCUGCGCUUCUCAAGACAUGUUGGAUCCCUGGUGAUGUCAGAGCUCCAGACUAAGCAAGGAACCACUGGAGAGCCACUUAGCCCUUGUAACGCAGAUGAGCUGAGAUGAUUUGGAAAGAUUCAGCUCUUUGGAUCCUUCGCUAUCCUGACAAAUCCAAAGGGAAAUACAUGCACUGCCAAAGUUGUUUCUAUGGGUCAUUCCUGAAUUCCUACAGAAAACAGUAUUUCUCAGAACAACAUAGAAGAGCUGUUAAGCGGUGCUGGUGGUCUGGUGACAUCCCUACAGUACUGUCUUUCAGCCAAAGUAAUAUGGAUUUCCUAGAAGCACGUGCCCCCAGAGGAAGAAAUCAUGGACUUUUAAGGUAUCCCAGACAACAGUGCAGAUGCUGAUUUCAGCUUCGCCGUUUUAAACCCGCUGUAUUCAGUGGAUUGACUUUGAAAGUGGGUUUUUUUUACUGAUGGGAGAUCUAUGAGGGGAGGAAUGGAUCCCUGCAUCCCCAGAGUACCUGGAUAACCUCCAGCUUGCCCUCUUGGAGGUUUUGUUUCCAGAUCUAUCACAGGCAAGUCACCAGGACAUGGAUUCAUCCCAUCUAACCGUUCACAGCUAAAGCAAGUAACUUUAAACAAGAGUUAAGAUAAACAGUGGAGAGAGAGAUUUCACCUACCUACGGGCUGCUGGGCUUCUAUCACUCUGCUUUUACUGAAGAUUUUUUGGGCCUAUGUUCCUAAUUUAGUUGCCUUCUUUAUGCUUAUCAGUGAAACUGAAUCUGGGCGUUUAUCUUCCUGAGCAUCAAUUCCAAUUCUGUGAAACUUAAAUACAAGAUUAAAGACAUUU
Molecule: long non-coding RNA, 1353 nt
Organism: Pezoporus occidentalis (night parrot)
Lineage: Eukaryota; Metazoa; Chordata; Aves; Psittaciformes; Psittacidae
Exons: 2
Source: RefSeq, a predicted model, not a curated record